Molecule: long non-coding RNA, 817 nt
Filed under: Homo sapiens (human)
Lineage: Eukaryota; Metazoa; Chordata; Mammalia; Primates; Hominidae
Description: HSALNT0126315
Source: RNAcentral
GAGACAAGGUCUCACUCUAUCGCCCAGGAUGGAGUGCAGUGGCGUGUUCUUGGCUAACUGCAACCUCCACCUCCCAGGUUCAAGCAAUUCUCCUGCCUCAGCCUCCCAAGUAGCUGGGAUUACAGGCACAUGCCACCACCCCCAGCUAAUUUUUUUUGUAUUUUUAGUAGAGAUGGCGUUUCAACAUGUUGGCCAGGCUGGUCUCAAACUCCUGACCUCAGUAUCUGCCCGCCUCAGUCUCCCAAAGUGCUGGGAUUACAGGCAUGAGCCACCGCGCCUGGCCUAAUUUCUUAACCUUUCUAAGUUUCUACAGAGCAGCAGGGGCACUAGGUCCUGAACAAAGCAACAGGUCCCUAGAAGUUAGAGAAGGGGAGCAGAGAAGCAGAGAAGGAGAGGACAGAGACGUGGGCAAAGAGCAGCACCUCAUGUGUUCAGGGAUAAUCCUUCGGAAAAGUCUCUGGAUUAUAUAUUAAGUCCUGAGAAUAACACGGAAAAAGUAUCAGAUUUGGCCAGGCGCGGUGGCUCAUGCCUGUAAUCUCAGCACUUUGGGAGGCCGAGGCAGGUGGAUCACCUGAGGUCAGGAGUUCGAGACCAGCCUGACCAACAUGGAAAAACUCCGUCUCUACUAAAAAUACAAAAUUAGCUGGGUGUGGUGACGCAUGCCUAUCAUCACAGCUACUCAGGAGGCUGUGGCAGGAGAAUUGCUUGAACGCAGGACGCAGAGGUUGCGGUGUGAGCCACCUCGCCUGGACUACUUUCACUUUCCUUACCUGUAAAAUGAGGAAUAAUACUAGCUGCCUCAAUUAAUGUGUUACUG